AUUGAACGCUGGCGGCAUGCUUUACACAUGCAAGUCGAACGGCAGCGGGGUAGUGCUUGCACUACUGUCCGGCGAGUGGCGAACGGGUGAGUAAUAUAUCGGAACGUACCGAGUAAUGGGGGAUAACCAAUCGAAAGAUUGGCUAAUACCGCAUACGUCCUGAGGGAGAAAGCGGGGGAUCGCAAGACCUCGCGUUAUUCGAGCGGCCGAUAACUGAUUAGCUAGUUGGUGGGGUAAAGGCCUACCAAGGCGACGAUCAGUAGCGGGUCUGAGAGGACGAUCCGCCACACUGGGACUGAGACACGGCCCAGACUCCUACGGGAGGCAGCAGUGGGGAAUUUUGGACAAUGGGGGCAACCCUGAUCCAGCCAUGCCGCGUGUAUGAAGAAGGCCUUCGGGUUGUAAAGUACUUUUGUUAGGGAAGAAAAGGGAAGUGCUAAUACCACUUUUUGCUGACGGUACCUAAAGAAUAAGCACCGGCUAACUACGUGCCAGCAGCCGCGGUAAUACGUAGGGUGCGAGCGUUAAUCGGAAUUACUGGGCGUAAAGCGAGCGCAGACGGUUAUUUAAGCAGGAUGUGAAAUCCCCGGGCUUAACCUGGGAACUGCGUUCUGAACUGGAUAGCUAGAGUGUGUCAGAGGGGGGUAGAAUUCCACGUGUAGCAGUGAAAUGCGUAGAGAUGUGGAGGAAUACCGAUGGCGAAGGCAGCCCCCUGGGAUAACACUGACGUUCAUGCUCGAAAGCGUGGGUAGCAAACAGG
This 760-nucleotide ribosomal RNA is filed under the name uncultured Eikenella sp. RNAcentral's name for it is "bacterial SSU rRNA". It matches the Rfam family "Bacterial small subunit ribosomal RNA", at positions 28 to 776 of the family's 1533-position model. The record is from RNAcentral. Lineage: Bacteria; Pseudomonadati; Pseudomonadota; Betaproteobacteria; Neisseriales; Neisseriaceae.